GACAAAGCAAAGAAAGAGGAAAGACUGCCCUGAGGAAUAGAGAGUAGAUUUUGUGGAGGAAAGGGAUGCCAAACAACACCAUUUUAGUGGAGACCCACUUCUGACUGAAACAAACAGUGAUCAUUUUCUUGUCGGAGAAGCAAAAAGUUUCAGUUUUGGUGCAUACCCACAUAUUUUCUUGAGGGAAAUUGGGUUGAAGUGAAUUGAAGUAGAAAUGGGGUUGAUUUCUGGGAUUCUGAUGGGGAUGAUCUGUGGGAUCGGGUUAAUGGCAGUUUGGAAGCAUAUGACGAGGUACAGGAGCAACAAGAGAAUUGCUAAGGCAGUAGAUGUAAAAGUAAUGGGCUGCCUCUGCAGGGAUGAUCUGAAGAAAGUUUGUGGCGAUAACUUUCCUGAAUGGAUAUCAUUCCCGGUUUAUGAACAGGUCAAAUGGUUGAACAAACAGUUGAGCAAGUUGUGGCCAUCCAUUGCCGAAGCAGGAGAGGCUAUUAUAAAAGAAUCUGUUGAACCUCUUUUAGAAGAUUAUCGACCUCCUGGAAUUACUUCAUUGAAGUUCAGCAAGUUAUCAUUGGGAACUGUGGCACCCAAAAUAGAAGGUAUUCGUGUUCAGAGCCUUAAAAAAGGUCAAAUCACUAUGGAUAUAGACCUCCGAUGGGGUGGUGAUCCCAAUAUUGUCUUAGGUGUUGAAGCUGCAAUGGUUGCUUCGAUACCCAUUCAGUUGAAAAAUCUUCAAGUUUUCACUGUUAUUCGUGUCAUCUUCCAACUAACUGAGGAAAUCCCUUGCAUCUCGGCUGUUGUUGUAGCAUUACUUUCUGAGCCAAAACCUAGAAUUGACUAUGUCUUGAAGGCGGUCGGUGGAAGUUUAACAGCUCUUCCUGGACUUUCAGAUAUGAUUGAUGACACUGUAAAUACAAUAGUGACAGACAUGCUAGAAUGGCCGCACAGAAUUGUUGUUCCAAUUGCACCUGUGGAUACUAGUGAUUUGGAACUUAAGCCACAAGGGAAGCUCACAGUAACUAUUGUCAAGGCUAAUGGCUUGAAGAACCACGAAAUGAUAGGAAAAUCCGAUCCAUAUGCUGUUGUACACAUACGCCCCCUUUUCAAGGUUAAGACAAAAACCAUUGACAACAACCUAAAUCCUGUUUGGGAUCAGACGUUUGAAUUAAUUGCAGAAGACAAGGAGACGCAAUCCCUAUUCAUUGAGGUCUUUGAUAAAGACAAUAUUGGGCAAGACCAGCGAAUGGGUGUCGCAAAGUUGCCUCUGAAUGAGCUUGUAGCUGAUGCUGCUAAAGAAAUUGAAUUAAGAUUACUUCCAAAACUUGAUAUGCUCAAAGUCAAAGAUAAGAAGGAUCGGGGCACUAUCACAAUAAAGGUGUUGUAUCAUGAGUUCAACAAGGAAGAGCAGUUAGCUGCUCUGGAGGCAGAGAAAGCGAUCCUAGAAGAAAGGAAGAAGCUGAAAGCAGAAGGGGUCAUCGGCAGCACAAUGGAUGCGGUUGGUUCAGGUGUCGGUAUGGUGGGAAGUGGCAUUGGAGCAGGCGUGGGCCUCGUUGGAACGGGACUAGGU
RNAcentral lists this unclassified non-coding RNA (1561 nucleotides) under Hevea brasiliensis (rubber tree). Lineage: Eukaryota; Viridiplantae; Streptophyta; Magnoliopsida; Malpighiales; Euphorbiaceae. The record is from RNAcentral.